This 494-nucleotide long non-coding RNA is filed under the name Homo sapiens (human). RNAcentral's name for it is "non-protein coding lnc-MBD3-3:2". The record is from RNAcentral. Lineage: Eukaryota; Metazoa; Chordata; Mammalia; Primates; Hominidae.
UGGCGCUGGACCAGCUGUCGGCGCUCGGGCUGGGGGGCGCUGGCGACACGGACGAGGAGGGGGCGGCCGGGGACCCGCCGCCGCCCCGGCCGUCGCCCCCCGACGUGUUCGCGGGCUUCGCGCCCCACCCCGCGGCCCUGGGGCCCCCGACGCUGCUGGCCGACCAGAUGAGCGUGAUCGGCAGCCGCAAGAAAAGCGUCAACAUGACCGAGUGCGUCCCGGUGCCCAGCUCCGAGCACGUCGCCGAGAUCGUGGGUCGCCAGGCUGCAAGAUCAAGGCCCUGCGGGCCAAGACAAACACCUACAUCAAGACCCCAGUGCGGGGCGAGGAGCCGGUCUUCAUCGUGACCGGCCGGAAGGAGGACGUGGAGAUGGCCAAGCGUGAGAUCCUGUCGGCGGCCGAACACUUCUCCAUCAUCCGCGCCACGCGCAGCAAGGCCGGGGGUCUGCCCGGCGCCGCCCAGGGCCCGCCCAACCUUCCCGGACAGACCACCA